AAUUUUUUUAAAAAGGCGUAGAAAAGGAAAUCAAGAACUACUUAGGUCUUGUAUUUUUCUCUUCUGCUUUUCUUUGCAUGUUAGAUUAUGUCUCAGUCUUCAGAUUUAUGAUCUGAGAAGGAGAGAUUCUUUCUCACGAGCUCAAGUUUAAAAAAAAAUUUAACACAAACCACCACCAGCAGCAGUAGCACCACCACCACCACCUUAAAGAAUUCCCACCAGAGCAGGCAUGGGUUGUUAUAUGCCUACUCCUUAACCCAGGCUGGGGUUGAGGGGAUGGGGCAUUAUAGUUGUCCUCAUUUAGGUCAGACACUCACUGUGGCAGAGACACCUAGUCACCUACCUACCACAUCUGAUUUCCCCUUCUUGAAUAGCAAUAGAGCUCCUAAGUUUUAGCUGGGAACAGUGGUGCCUGAAAGAAAAACUACAUAUCUCAGCCACCCUUGCAGAUGGAUGUGGCCAUGGAGCUAGGUUCUGGGCAAUGACAUGUAAGUGCUGGUUUUGUGUGGCAGCUUCCAGGAAACCCCCUUUAAACGCAGCUGCUAUCUGUUAUCUGUUGUCUCUUCCUUUUCCUCCUUACUCGAUCUUUCCACCUGGAACAUGAAUGUGGUGGCAGAACUCUAGCAUCUAUUUUGGACCGUGAGAAUGAAGGUCACAUUCUAGGGAUGGGUGAGUAAUAAACUGAAAAGAGCCUGGGUUCCUGCAGACUUCAGAGAGCAGAACCACUGGGCUCAUCUCAGAUUGCCAAUCUACCCCUUUUAUUUUGAGUUUUACUGUCACCUUCAGCCAAACUUGAUCCUGACUAAUAAACCCACAUCUGUAGCCAUGGAAGGUACCCUCUCAAUAUAUGCUUUUCAUGAAUGCUAUAGCAGAGAAAAGAGGACAUAGUUUCUCACUGUCUCCUGAAGUUACCCCCGAAGGCGACACAGAUCACAUCUGUACCAUUUUACUGACCAAAGAAAAUUGCAUGGCCAUGUCUGACCCCAAAGGAAGUAGGGAACUACAAUCCUACCAUAUUCCCAGAAAGCAAAAAGCUAGAAAUAUUUGGUGAACACACAAAUUACCACCAUAUUUCUAUGUUAUAUAUUGGCAACUUUACUUUUUUUUUCUUUUGAUUACCGUUAUGGACAUUUUUAUCUAUUUUAUGUUUUUUUAGAGAACUAACACUUGGACUCUUUGUUUUCUGAUACAUUAAUUUACACUUUUAUACUGACAAUUUAUAUUGUAUUUCCUUACCUUGAAACCUUUGUUCAUUUAUUUUCAUUUACUUUGCUUUUUAAAUAAAGCUCUUGCAGAUAUAA
Long non-coding RNA from Myotis daubentonii (Daubenton's bat), 1301 nucleotides. RefSeq lists it as uncharacterized. The record is from RefSeq and is a predicted model, not a curated record. The transcript is spliced from 2 exons. Lineage: Eukaryota; Metazoa; Chordata; Mammalia; Chiroptera; Vespertilionidae.